GGAAAUGUCCCCAAUUCAAACAUUUCAUGAAUGAGAACAAAAAUGUUGCGCGUAGCCUAGAACAAUGGUUGUUACAGUAGCCAAGUAGGUAGGAAGCGCGAGUAUGUAUGUUGCACACAGUCCUGAACAACAGUUUUAACAGAGGGGUUAUUACGUGCACUGCUGCUAAGUAGUACCAAGAUAUAAGGAUAUUGUCUGGGUUCACGCAGCCCUGUGGAGCUGUAAACUGCUGUGUAUUGCUAUCCUGCGGUUGUUACUAAAUUUGGUAUAACUAGAGAAGCAAGCGGUCGGCAACAUUCAUCUCUUGAAGGGGUGUCCGCCUCGGUGUGUUUGACCUUAACUUAAAUUUACGCCGAUGGGUUCAUCAUUUGUAUGAAGUUGAGACUGAGCUAUAGUUGCCUACAAACUUUUUGAGCUUUAGACACACGAACAGCGGAUGUUGAAGUAGCUGUCAUCAUUCUUAUCUCACAAAAAAAUCAAUAGUUUCUUGUGUUACGCAUUUUAAAAGCAGGCCUAGGAGCGAGAAAACAGAAAGACAGACUAUUAGGAAUUGGUUGAAUCUGCUUAUGCCACAGUAUUAAAAGAAAAAAUAAGAACAGGACAUAACUGUGGAGGACUGGGCCCCAACUUAAGAAGAUCGACUAUAGAUUCAAUGGACUGGAAAAUUGUCCAUCAAAAGAAAAGAACAGAGUUGGCUGGAAUCUGACCAGAGUGCUGCGAUGACCCUUAACUAGACAUGGCUCAGAAAGUCCAAACAAAAGAAAGCUCAAGAUCUGGGACACUACAGAGAUUGUGUAUCACAGGGCGAGAACACGAUUGAGGUAAAAGAGGUCACUGGACCGCUUCACGGGGCCAAGAGACAAACAGGACCCCGAGGAAAUAGUUGGCAGAAACUCCCAGAAAGAUUCGAUUCAGUCUGCUGAUUUUGCCAACUUUGGUAAAGGAGGCCUGUUUGACUUGAACUCAGGAACAUGAAUGAAAGUACUGACUGUAAUGGACUGUAAUUGGGGGGGUAUUUACUGUCACUUAUUGUGACGUCAAGCUCAAGGUGGGAAGCUUGAAUAUUAUCACGUCUUGCCGCUGUGUUCCAGGUCGUGCGUCAUUAAAACGUCAAUAACCUGACGAACUGUCACCAUUUCACUGCUCUUUUUAUAAUAAGCUGCCACUUAGAAAAUGUAAACGCCUCGAUAGACCCAGACGGACGUCAGGCUGGGAAGUGACUGGAUGCAAACAUCAGUUGUACUCAAAUCAAAACUGUGUUUGUUCAAUAUGUUUUUAACUCAAAAUAUGGUCCGACAUUUUUCUAGAUUUACACUCUCCAUUGUCCUGACACUGCUUAUCAAUCUACGAGCGGAGAAAUGAAGACGAUUUGUCAGAUUAUCAAUAAGUAAAGCUGAUGACCUGGGACGCAGUAGUGAGGCGUGAUAAUAAUUUAAGCCUCCCCGCCGAGGUUGUUGUCAGAGGAAGAUGACCCUUGAGGAAAAAUAGUGUAUGGGUGUAAAUGUACCUCUUCUUGUCAGCUGACAGGUUUAAUGAGUGGUGAAGGGGAAAUUGGAUUUUUUUGGAGGGGGGGGAUCCAUUUACUGCUAACGUCAGGCUUGUACAUCAAGUUUCACAUUAGUUGUGAUUUGUAAAACAUAACCAGGCGUGAACGCGGCUUCAUAAAUAUGAUUAAUACAACACAUGUUUGUGUGUUUAUGGGUCUGGGGUUCCUGCUAAGAUUGAUGGUCUUAUUGUGUUGGAGCACAUGGCUGGAUUUCUUGGCCUCUGGUAAACAAUGCCGUUGAGAAACAAAGGGGAGCAGGAAUUCGUGGAAACUCAUUAGCUCUGGUAUAAAGCAAUCAGAAAUAAGCCGACACUGAAGCUGAAUUCAAUAAGAGCGGACACGAAGAGCUGCCAGUAGCCUUUUUCCGUGCCAGCGUUGACAUCUUAAGACAUUGUCUGUGGAAACUGGCAGAGACGCCGAACAGGAAUGUAGGAAGCUUUCGUGGCGUGGCAGCGUUCCCAAACCUCAUGUGUAAACAGCUUUUAGACAAAGCAGACGCUUAGAAUAACUUUGACCUCGUGUCACAAUCAAAACACUGACUUGGCCUUAGCGUGUCUGCUGUGUCU
This 2112-nucleotide long non-coding RNA is filed under the name Xyrichtys novacula (pearly razorfish). Lineage: Eukaryota; Metazoa; Chordata; Actinopteri; Labriformes; Labridae. The record is from RNAcentral.